GCAAAUUUUUAAAAAGAUACUUACAUGCUCAUCUAUCAGCAACAUCUCAACACUCGUCAAAGCUCCCCUUUGUUGAUAUUUUUGGCAUCCAAGAACCUCAACAAACGGACCUCCGCGGUAUAAGAGCAUCGUCCGGCUCUCAAAUUGGCGAGGACAGUGUAUGAAUUCGCCAUUGGAAUCGUUUAUUUGGAAAUUGUUUGUUUUUGGAUUUUGCGUGAGUUGAACUUUGCAUGCUAGGAAGCUCUGAUAUUUGUAGAUGUAGAUUUAGGGCCGGGGGUUACAGUGAAAACGAAGAGGUAUAUUGAAAUCUUAACGUGGGAGUUGUGGACUAAUGAAGAGAAAACCUAAAUUAAAUGACGGAUUAAAGAAUCUGUGAAACGUUACG
RNAcentral lists this long non-coding RNA (385 nucleotides) under Brassica napus (rape). RNAcentral describes it as "long non-coding RNA (BNAP_LNC005081)". The record is from RNAcentral. Lineage: Eukaryota; Viridiplantae; Streptophyta; Magnoliopsida; Brassicales; Brassicaceae.